This 167-nucleotide ribosomal RNA is filed under the name uncultured bacterium. RNAcentral describes it as "partial 16S ribosomal RNA". It matches the Rfam family "Bacterial small subunit ribosomal RNA", at positions 349 to 507 of the family's 1533-position model. The record is from RNAcentral.
GAGCAGUAGGGAAUUUUGCGCAACUGAGGCAACUCUGACGUAGAACAGCCGCGUGAAGGAAGACGGCCUUAUGGGUUGUAAACUGCUUUUACAAGGGAAUAAACCCCCGUUCGUGAACGGUUUCUCUUCAAUGAUCCAUGUAAGAAUAAGCACCGGCUAACUACGUG